This 497-nucleotide ribosomal RNA is filed under the name uncultured bacterium. Its description in RNAcentral is "partial 16S ribosomal RNA". It matches the Rfam family "Bacterial small subunit ribosomal RNA", at positions 28 to 507 of the family's 1533-position model. The record is from RNAcentral.
GAUGAACGCUGGCGGCGUGCCUAAUACAUGCCAGUCGAGCGAACGGACGAGAAGCUUGCUUCUCUGAUGUUAGCGGCGGACGGGUGAGUAACACGUGGAUAACCUACCUAUAAGACUGGGAUAACUUCGGGAAACCGGAGCUAAUACCGGAUAAUAUUUUGAACCGCAUGGUUCAAAAGUGAAAGACGGUCUUGCUGUCACUUAUAGAUGGAUCCGCGCUGCAUUAGCUAGUUGGUAAGGUAACGGCUUACCAAGGCAACGAUGCAUAGCCGAUCUGAGAGGGUGAUCGCCCACACUGGAACUGAGACACGGUCCAGACUCCUACGGGAGGCAGCAGUAGGGAAUAUUCCGCAAUGGGCGAAAGCCUGACGGAGCCACGCCGCGUGAGUGAUGAAGGUCUUCGGAUCGUAAAACUCUGUUAUUAGGGAAGAACAUAUGUGUAAGUAACUGUGCACAUCUUGACGGUACCUAAUCAGAAAGCCACGGCUAACUACGUG